Molecule: ribosomal RNA, 495 nt
Filed under: uncultured bacterium
Lineage: Bacteria
Description: partial 16S ribosomal RNA
Rfam family: Bacterial small subunit ribosomal RNA
Source: RNAcentral
UGAACGCUGGCGGCGUGCCUAAUACAUGCAAGUCGAGCGAACAGAUGAGGAGCUUGCUCCUCUGCCGUUAGCGGCGGACGGGUGAGUAACACGUGGAUAACCUACCUAUAAGACUGGGAUAACUUCGGGAAACCGGAGCUAAUACCGGAUAAUAUAUUGAACCGCAUGGUUCAAUAGUGAAAGACGGUUUUGCUGUCACUUAUAGAUGGAUCCGCGCCGCAUUAGCUAGUUGGUAAGGUAACGGCUUACCAAGGCGACGAUGCGUAGCCGACCUGAGAGGGUGAUCGGCCACACUGGAACUGAGACACGGUCCAGACUCCUACGGGAGGCAGCAGUAGGGAAUCUUCCGCAAUGGGCGAAAGCCUGACGGAGCAACGCCGCGUGAGUGAUGAAGGUCUUCGGAUCGUAAAACUCUGUUAUUAGGGAAGAACAAAUGUGUAAGUAACUAUGCACGUCUUGACGGUACCUAAUCAGAAAGCCACGGCUAACUACGUG